RNAcentral lists this ribosomal RNA (633 nucleotides) under uncultured bacterium. RNAcentral describes it as "bacterial SSU rRNA". It matches the Rfam family "Bacterial small subunit ribosomal RNA", at positions 61 to 679 of the family's 1533-position model. The record is from RNAcentral.
GUCGAGCGAUUAAAGCCCCUUCGGGGGUGUAUAAAGCGGCGAACGGGUGAGUAACAGGUGGAUAAUCUUCCUUCCGGAGGGGGACAACGGCUGGAAACGGCCGCUAAUACCGCAUACGAUUGUUGAAUCGCAUGGUUCGACAAGGAAAGGGGCAAUUGCUCCGCCGGAAGAUGAGUCCGCCCCCCAUUAGCUUGUUGGCGGGAUAACAGCCCACCAAGGCUUCGAUGGGUAGCCGAGCUGGGAGGUUGAUCGGCCACACUGGAACUGAGAUACGGUCCAGACACCUACGGGUGGCAGCAGUAGGGAAUAUUGCGCAAUGGGCGAAAGCCUGACGCAGCCAUGCCGCGUGGAUGAUGAAGGCCUUCGGGUCGUAAAGUCCUUUUCUGAGGGAAGAACAGGCCGUGGAGUGGAAAGCCACGGUUUUGACGGUACCUCAGGAAUAAGCAACGGCUAACUCCGUGCCAGCAGCCGCGGUAAUACGGAGGUUGCAAGCGUUGUUCGGAAUUACUGGGCGUAAAGGGAGCGCAGGCGGUUUGGUCAGUCUAAAGUGAAAUCCCGGGGCUCAACCUCGGACGUGCUUUGGAUACUGCCAGGCUUGAGUUCGUGAGAGGAAAGCGGAAUUCCAGGUGUAGC